This 434-nucleotide ribosomal RNA is filed under the name uncultured bacterium. RNAcentral's name for it is "partial 16S ribosomal RNA". It matches the Rfam family "Bacterial small subunit ribosomal RNA", at positions 29 to 506 of the family's 1533-position model. The record is from RNAcentral.
AACGAACGCUGGCGGCAGGCUUAACACAUGCAAGUCGAACGCGUGCAGCAAUGCACGAGUGGCGCACGGGUGAGUAACGCGUGGAUAUCUGCCUUUUGGUUCGGAAUAACCCCGGGAAACUGGGGCUAAUACCGGAUGGUUCCUACGGGAUAAAGAUUUAUCGCCAAAAGAUGAGUCCGCGUCCGAUUAGCUAGUUGGUGAGGUAAUGGCUCACCAAGGCGACGAUCGGUAGCUGGUCUGAGAGGACGAUCAGCCACACUGGGACUGAGACACGGCCCAGACUCCUACGGGAGGCAGCAGUGGGGAAUAUUGGACAAUGGGGGCAACCCUGAUCCAGCCAUGCCGCGUGAGUGAUGAAGGCCUUCAGGUUGUAAAGCUCUUUUGGCGGGGACGAUGAUGACGGUACCCGCAGAAUAAGCCCCGGCUAACUUCGU